AGAGUUUGAUCCUGGCUCAGGAUGAACGCUAGCUACAGGCUUAACACAUGCAAGUCGAGGGGAAACGACAUCGAAAGCUUGCUUUUGAUGGGCGUCGACCGGCGCACGGGUGAGUAACGCGUAUCCAACCUGCCCACCACUUGGGGAUAACCUUGCGAAGGUAAGACUAAUACCCAAUGACGUCUCUAGAAGACAUCUGAAAGAGAUUAAAGAUUUAUCGGUGAUGGAUGGGGAUGCGUCUGAUUAGCUUGUUGGCGGGGUAACAGCCACAAGGCGACGAUCAGUAGGGGUUCUGAGAGGAAGGUCCCCANAUUGGAACUGAGACACGGUCCAAACUCCUACGGGAGCA
RNAcentral lists this ribosomal RNA (349 nucleotides) under uncultured bacterium. RNAcentral describes it as "bacterial SSU rRNA". It matches the Rfam family "Bacterial small subunit ribosomal RNA", at positions 8 to 349 of the family's 1533-position model. The record is from RNAcentral.